RNAcentral lists this unclassified non-coding RNA (706 nucleotides) under Hevea brasiliensis (rubber tree). Lineage: Eukaryota; Viridiplantae; Streptophyta; Magnoliopsida; Malpighiales; Euphorbiaceae. The record is from RNAcentral.
AAAUAACAGACGCAUAUUCAUUUUUCUCACAAGUUAACAAAAUGGUUUAUAGGCAUGUUACAGAAUUGAGCCAAGGGAAGGCAGCAAGUCCUCUAACCUAGCAUAUAUGUAUACCUACCGGUAUAGUGAAUCACUUGGUAUAUACAUUAAGAAAUGAAACACAUUGCAGAGAGUUUGUCAAGAUCUAUUUUUCCUUGACACAGUACAUAUUUCAUGGAAUCUCAUAGUUUGUUUCAUUCUAAAAACUAGCAUCCCCAAAACAUUACCAUAAACUUUAUUACAUUAUCUUCUCUGCAGGAUUUCCAAUGAUAUGUAGAUCUUGAAUUGCCCUUGUUUGCCAAUAUCCUUGACAAAGGAUUGGAACCUCGGUAUCACUUGAGAAAAUUGGAUAGUGAGAAAGAUUAUGAAUUUGUGGUUGAUUUGAACUAUAGUUGCAUGGUCAGGUUGCUUUGAGACUUUCUUGUUUGGAACUUGCUAAUGAUGAGACAGGAAAAUCAUGUACAUUGAAGUAUGUCUUGUUGAACAUGAGAUUUGUAAGGGCUCUGUCAAUGGCGUUGGUUUCCAAUUCCAUAGUUUUCUUUCGUCCAGGCCUCAUUUUGUCUUCUUGACAUGUCCAUGGGGAGCUUUCCAUGGAAAGGUUUCCAUUUCGGUCCCAUGUCACAUGUUGGCUUGAGGUAUUGGCCAGACGGUAAAAGGCAUCACGAAA